RNAcentral lists this ribosomal RNA (286 nucleotides) under Pimelobacter simplex. Its description in RNAcentral is "partial 23S rRNA. Bacterial LSU". It matches the Rfam family "Bacterial large subunit ribosomal RNA", at positions 2635 to 2925 of the family's 2925-position model. Lineage: Bacteria; Bacillati; Actinomycetota; Actinomycetes; Propionibacteriales; Nocardioidaceae. The record is from RNAcentral.
UCCCUAUCCGCCGCGCGCGUAGGAAACUUGAGAAAGGCUGUCCCUAGUACGAGAGGACCGGGAUGGACGAACCUCUGGUGUGCCAGUUGUACCGCCAGGUGCAUGGCUGGUUGGCUACGUUCGGAAGUGAUAACCGCUGAACGCAUCUAAGCGGGAAGCACGUUUCAAGAUGAGGUUUCCCACCCCUUGUGGGUUAAGGCCCCCAAAAGAUGAUUGGGUUGAUAGGCCGGAGGUGUACAGCAGCAAUGCCCAGCCGACCGGUACUAAUAGGCCGAAGACUUGCCAC